Non-coding RNA from Amborella trichopoda, 2653 nucleotides. The record is from RefSeq and is a predicted model, not a curated record. Lineage: Eukaryota; Viridiplantae; Streptophyta; Magnoliopsida; Amborellales; Amborellaceae.
UUAAAAAUUAUACCCAAACUCCAACUCUCGCUCUAACUCCAUCUCUCUUUUAAUUUAUCUCUUUUGAAAAAGUAUAGAAACAGUGCUCCUGCAGGUUUAAAAAUUAUAGUUAGCCUAUUUGCAGCGACUUUCUUUAAAAAAUUAUUUGUAUGUACGUUAGUUUCUUAAUAUAAAAAAAAAAGUUGGUUGUCUCUUUGUUUUUAGAUCUUGCAGUGUUGGCAUCGGAUGUGAGAUCCAAAUGAAUAAUGUGUGCCAUGCGAUGCACCUAAACCAAACCUCUCUGCGUCUUCCUUCCUCUGAUGUCUAUUUCCAAUGCACAAAGCACCUUGGCCACCAAAAAUGGUGAGCUUUCUCUAUUUCGCUCUCUUUUUUUGGUUCUCUCUGCUCAACGCAGGAAGGCCCUCUCUCGACUUUCCAUUCCUACGUCUCUCUCUCUAGCAGACGACGACUCUCUUUCUCUAACAAACUGCGACUCUUCCAGAAUUUAUAUCGCUCUCUAUCUCUGAAGGAGACCAUCAGCCUCAUCACAAUCUCGGUAGGCACCCAUCUUUUUCUUAUGCUGCAAUCUGAAAUAAAUUUUUUUUUCUUUUUUUUGGUCAUUGUGAAUGAAAAUUUCUUGAUCUAGGGUUUCUAUGUUUAUUGCAUAUAUUUAUGUAGAGUUUGUUGAAAGAUUUCCUCCAAACAAAAUUCAACAAAGAUUGCAUAUAAAAUUUAAUAAUCCGUUAUUUUUUUUUUUUUUUUUUUUUUUUUUUUUGUGAAUGAAUUUCUGAUUUUCUUAAAAAAUCUGUUUUGGUCUUUAUUUUGAGAACCGAAAAAAUAAAAAUAAAAAUUUCGAAACCCACAAAAAUCUCCAAAUCUUACAAAAUAUUGACUCAAUUCAAUAGGGAAAAAUCGAUUAACAUGGUAUUCUAUUUUUUUUUUGGGUCAUUGUGAAGGAAUUGUUGUCGAUUUAGGGUUUCUAAGUUUGUUGUGUCUAUUUAUGUAUAAUUUGUGUCAAAGUAUGUUAAAAGUUUUUUUUCGGUCUUUGCUGUGGAGAACCAACAAAAUUUAGCACAGAUUUCUUGACCGUAUAAAAAAUCCCCAAAUCUAAAAUAUCCAUUAAAUUCAAUAAGAAUUUUCAAUGAAUGUGGUGUUCUUGUUGUAAUUUUCGUUGUUCAAUAUGAUUCUAUUACUUUUUCUGCACUUGUGAUUCAUUUCUAUGUUCAUUGGCAUUUUUAUGGAUCCACUUUGAAGUUCCAUGUCAUAUAUCUUACAGUCAUUCAUGGCUUCUUAUGAAGUCAAUUUGCUGAAUCAUUUAAACGUUUUUGCAUUAUGCCCAUUCCUAUCUAUGGACAAAUUAGUGAGACGUUCAUAGUAUUACAAUAUCAUAAUUUCUGAUUAUAAGUUACCUGUGAAGUUCAAAUUUCCUGUAUUAUUGGCUGCGUUGGCUCUAUACUUUGUCUUUUAAAUCGAACUCAAUUAAUACUCUGAAUCAUGGGAAUUCUUAUUAUAAGAAAACAUUCAGAUUUAUUUUUCUAUGUUAGAAGUUGUCUUCUAUGUUGCAGGUCAGCAAACUUCAGUUCUUGCAUUUUAGUAGUUGUUGUGUCUUUGCAUCAAAAUAUGCUACAUUUCCUUUUAAAGUUUUGUACUUUUGUAACAAGAUGUGAUUAGAGUUUGAUAGAGGAAAUGAGUUAAGACAAAUAACUAUAUUCUCAAUUUCCAUAUGACACAUGUUCAUACCAGUUUGGGACGUUAGGUAUUAGAUUUUAUUUAUUUCAUUUUUUUUAUCAUUUAUCAUUAUGCCACUGUAUCGAUUUCACCUGUCUUUAAUAGGUACCACGACAUGACUAAAAUCAUUUAUGUAACUCAGCUUUAGGUCUACUUGUUAAGGAAAUAUCUUGACCAAAAAAGGAAGCCCACAAAAUAUACUUAAUUCCAUUUCAACAACACACUUUACAUUUCUCACAACAAACAAAUGGACAGCAUACUUUGAGCCACGACUUCUCUGAUCUUCAACUGUCUCCAUAAUCCAUACAGACUCUUGAAACAACAUCCUAAUCCUGAAACUUAUUACCCUCAAACUCCGUCUUAACUUUAGGCCUCAUCGAAUUUUCCUUUUCUACAAUUUCAAACUGUGUGAACCCUAUUCUUCCUAAUGCUGAACUACUGAAAUUUUCUUUAAUAAAAUUUUUUUAUAACACAUUUGAAGUUAGCAUCUUAAUUUAUUUUAUUACAUUUCAAUUUUCAAAUGAUUAUUGAAAUUAAUUGAAUGAAUAUUUUUUUUUGGUAUCUGCAAAAUAUGUUUCGCUGUCUAUCUCUCAAGGAGACCAUCAGCGUCAUCAUAAUCUCGAAUCUGAUUUGCUCUCAAGGAGACCAUCAACGUCAUCAUAAUUUUCAUAGGCAUCUAUCUCUCUUAUGCUGCACUCUGAAUUAUUUUAUUUCUUUUGUCAUUGUGAAUGUAAUUUAUUUGAUGAAUAAGAUUUAUUUGCUCUAUUGGCCAUAGUAUGUUGCAAUGACAUAUUUGAAACCUCUGAUUGCACUUGAAAAGCACAUUUUUUCAGGUCUCCAAAGAGUACUACAUCUUUAUACGUGAUUGCCUUAGAAACCAAUUCAUUGUAACAAAAAAAUUCAAAUAGUUUUAACGGUGAUUGGGUUGACUAUUGUGCUUUAGUUA